RNAcentral lists this long non-coding RNA (1468 nucleotides) under Stegodyphus dumicola. RNAcentral's name for it is "uncharacterized LOC118188859, transcript variant X1". The record is from RNAcentral. Lineage: Eukaryota; Metazoa; Arthropoda; Arachnida; Araneae; Eresidae.
UUAUAUUUAAAACCAGUUAUAAAUUAUUACGCAUUGUUAAAUAAUAGAAGAAUGCCUUUCGCAUUAGCUGUCUAAAGAUCCUUAUGAAUUAUUUAGCGGGAAAUGGCGUGGUCUAUCACCUGAAGUGCUGGGCGUGCCUUCAUUUCAGAACAGCCAGGCUCGCCGGCAACGUCUUUGCCGGCUCCUCCGUCGACGAAGCCGUGAAUGUUUGCAUCGUCCUCCGCAGCAGUAAGGGAUAGUGACUGCAUAAUCUUGGUAACCGAGAGCUCCACAAGAUAGGAAGAUUUCACUCACGAAUCCCAUCUCAUGCUACUGCAUGCAGACCAUGAUAUAACUGUGUUCUAAAAAAUAAUCGAAUGUCUGUAAAUAUCCAUACGCAAGCCUUCCGUUUUAGUGAUCACGAAUUUCGGUUUGGUUUUCCUCUUUACCAGAUCUUUUUUUUUUUUUUUUUUUUGCUUCUCCUGCCACUUUUAUGGGCGAGUGUACUGGAACGAGAAUUAGGAAUAACUUACUGGCGUGGUGUUUCCGUCCAUUAGCAUCUGGAAUAGAGGCACGUUUGGUGCACGUGACUCAGCUAUUUGUGCACGUGACCGUAAGCCCCACCUGCGUACUCAAGUGAAGUGCGCGGCAUAUUACGCAGCUGAUGAUGGCGGAAGCCACAUUUAUCACCUUUUGAGACCGAGUUGGGACAACUCGAAGCAAAAACUGUUCACUGUAAAGGGCAAAAUAGGCCCAAAAGAAAUAAAAUAGGAAAAAAUAUGUUAUGUAAGAGAUUAUUUUUGGAUUCAAUUUUAUUACCUCUCACAAGUACGUUAUCCAUGUAAGUACGUGUUUGGCUCAUUACUUUAAUUGCAUUUUGGCAACAAUUCUAGAAUUGUCACAAAUCAUCAAACCAGCUAUUAUUUCAGUUUCAAAAAGCACAGCCAAAAUCAUUUGAUUGAUAGAAAGCUAUUAGCUACAUUUGUUUGCAGAUUUGUUUACGUCUUUGAAAUAUUUGGAACAGAAUGACGUUUCCAAAAAACAUGAAUAGAAAUCAUAUUUGAAAAAAGAAGGUAUACAAGUAGGAUAUUUGGAAAGAAGUACUUCUCAAGGCAAUAAAAUGUCCCAGAUGCCCGAACUUCUACUGCAGUAAGCCAUUCGUGCCUGAAAAAUGAGAAUAUUUAGAGACUGUUAUCUUCCUGAAAGAUGACAUUGGCAGAUAAAGUGAAGGAACUGCUUUGGGCUCAAUUUCGAGAUGAUCGGGUAGUUUAGAGAAGUUUCUUGUCCUCCUUCAUCGGACUUCCCCUCCGUAACUACUGGUUGUUUCUGAAAAAUCUCCAAAAGAUGGUAUCUAUAGCAUACAGACUACCAAGUUGCUACAAUUCCUCAAGAAACCCUUCGCGCUAUUAUUAAGUAUGUUAUAAAGUGCUUUGAACACGUGAUUGACGCAAAUGGAAUGCACAUUGAACAAUUUCAUUGAUUAAAUAAA